RNAcentral lists this long non-coding RNA (490 nucleotides) under Vulpes vulpes (red fox). Its description in RNAcentral is "lncRNA (ENSVVUG00000017712.1)". Lineage: Eukaryota; Metazoa; Chordata; Mammalia; Carnivora; Canidae. The record is from RNAcentral.
GAAAAAACGAAAUAUCCAACUUUUCACUACAUUUUACAUGUUCACGUCUUCAGCCUGUCUUGUUUGUUCCGUUUCUUUAAACAUUUCUUUUUGAUCUUCUCUUUCCUUCCUUUUUAUUUAAGAUUUUCCUUUCUAGGCAGAAGGGCCUUUCCUGCCCCUUCCCCCUGGCGGCUUGGGUCUAAUGUGCAAACUCCUCCUCCAAACCUUAGACCCUUCCAGCUCUAGAUCUCUCCCCACCUCCUAUCAAGCCCACCCGUCACUCCUUCCCCCACCCCACAGCACGAACACGCCCAAGGACAAUCGCUCCCCAGCGAACUCGCUGCACUCAGGGACCAGUCCCCAGGACGCUGUGCAGGCGGUCAAGGACAGCGAGUCAGAGAGGAUGGGCCCUGCCGCUGAGCACCCGUCCAGCACCCACCAGCCUGCACGCAGGAGGCAGCGCGGGGAAGCACAGCCACAAACAGACCUCCAAGGAGCCCUCCGAAAGUAG